This 1486-nucleotide ribosomal RNA is filed under the name Weissella confusa. RNAcentral describes it as "bacterial SSU rRNA". It matches the Rfam family "Bacterial small subunit ribosomal RNA". Lineage: Bacteria; Bacillati; Bacillota; Bacilli; Lactobacillales; Lactobacillaceae. The record is from RNAcentral.
GAACGUGGCGGGGGUGCUAUACAUGCAAGUCGAACGCUGUUGUGGUUCAACUGAUUUGAAGAGCUUGCUCAGAUAUGACGAUGGACAUUGCAAAGAGUGGCGAACGGGUGAGUAACACGUGGGAAACCUACCUCUUAGCAGGGGAUAACAUUUGGAAACAGAUGCUAAUACCGUAUAACAAUGACAACCGCAUGGUUGUUAUUUAAAAGAUGGUUCUGCUAUCACUAAGAGAUGGUCCCGCGGUGCAUUAGCUAGUUGGUAAGGUAAUGGCUUACCAAGGCGAUGAUGCAUAGCCGAGUUGAGAGACUGAUCGGCCACAAUGGGACUGAGACACGGCCCAUACUCCUACGGGAGGCAGCAGUAGGGAAUCUUCCACAAUGGGCGAAAGCCUGAUGGAGCAACGCCGCGUGUGUGAUGAAGGGUUUCGGCUCGUAAAACACUGUUGUAAGAGAAGAAUGACAUUGAGAGUAACUGUUCAAUGUGUGACGGUAUCUUACCAGAAAGGAACGGCUAAAUACGUGCCAGCAGCCGCGGUAAUACGUAUGUUCCAAGCGUUAUCCGGAUUUAUUGGGCGUAAAGCGAGCGCAGACGGUUAUUUAAGUCUGAAGUGAAAGCCCUCAGCUCAACUGAGGAAUUGCUUUGGAAACUGGAUGACUUGAGUGCAGUAGAGGAAAGUGGAACUCCAUGUGUAGCGGUGAAAUGCGUAGAUAUAUGGAAGAACACCAGUGGCGAAGGCGGCUUUCUGGACUGUAACUGACGUUGAGGCUCGAAAGUGUGGGUAGCAAACAGGAUUAGAUACCCUGGUAGUCCACACCGUAAACGAUGAGUGCUAGGUGUUUGAGGGUUUCCGCCCUUAAGUGCCGCAGCUAACGCAUUAAGCACUCCGCCUGGGGAGUACGACCGCAAGGUUGAAACUCAAAGGAAUUGACGGGGACCCGCACAAGCGGUGGAGCAUGUGGUUUAAUUCGAAGCAACGCGAAGAACCUUACCAGGUCUUGACAUCCCUUGACAACUCCAGAGAUGGAGCGUUCCCUUCGGGGACAAGGUGACAGGUGGUGCAUGGUUGUCGUCAGCUCGUGUCGUGAGAUGUUGGGUUAAGUCCCGCAACGAGCGCAACCCUUAUUACUAGUUGCCAGCAUUCAGUUGGGCACUCUAGUGAGACUGCCGGUGACAAACCGGAGGAAGGUGGGGAUGACGUCAAAUCAUCAUGCCCCUUAUGACCUGGGCUACACACGUGCUACAAUGGCGUAUACAACGAGUUGCCAACCCGCGAGGGUGAGCUAAUCUCUUAAAGUACGUCUCAGUUCGGAUUGUAGGCUGCAACUCGCCUACAUGAAGUCGGAAUCGCUAGUAAUCGCGGAUCAGCACGCCGCGGUGAAUACGUUCCCGGGUCUUGUACACACCGCCCGUCACACCAUGAGAGUUUGUAACACCCAAAGCCGGUGGGGUAACCUUCGGGAGCCAGCCGUCUAAGGUGACAGAGUGG